GGCUACGUAGCUCAGUUGGUUAGAGCACAUCACUCAUAAAUGAUGGGGUCACAGGUUCGAAUCCCGUCGUAGCCC
Molecule: transfer RNA, 75 nt
Filed under: Escherichia coli
Lineage: Bacteria; Pseudomonadati; Pseudomonadota; Gammaproteobacteria; Enterobacterales; Enterobacteriaceae
Description: tRNA-???(cata)
Rfam family: tRNA
About the family: Transfer RNA (tRNA) molecules are approximately 80 nucleotides in length. Their secondary structure includes four short double-helical elements and three loops (D, anti-codon, and T loops). Further hydrogen bonds mediate the characteristic L-shaped molecular structure. tRNAs have two regions of fundamental functional importance: the anti-codon, which is responsible for specific mRNA codon recognition, and the 3' end, to which the tRNAs corresponding amino acid is attached (by aminoacyl-tRNA synthetases). tRNAs cope with the degeneracy of the genetic code in two manners: having more than one tRNA (with a specific anti-codon) for a particular amino acid; and 'wobble' base-pairing, i.e. permitting non-standard base-pairing at the 3rd anti-codon position.
Source: RNAcentral